This 2891-nucleotide ribosomal RNA is filed under the name Vibrio parahaemolyticus. Its description in RNAcentral is "23S ribosomal RNA". It matches the Rfam family "Bacterial large subunit ribosomal RNA". The record is from RNAcentral. Lineage: Bacteria; Pseudomonadati; Pseudomonadota; Gammaproteobacteria; Vibrionales; Vibrionaceae.
GGUUAAGUGACUAAGCGUACACGGUGGAUGCCUUGGCAGUCAGAGGCGAUGAAAGACGUAGUAACUUGCGAUAAGCCCAGAUUAGGUAGUAACAACCAUUUGAGUCUGGGAUUUCUGAAUGGGGAAACCCACGUGCAUAAGCACGUAUCCUUACCUGAAUACAUAGGGUAAGGAGGCGAACCGGGGGAACUGAAACAUCUAAGUACCCCGAGGAAAAGAAAUCAACCGAGAUUCCGAAAGUAGCGGCGAGCGAAAUUGGACUAGCCCUUAAGCUUUACACGCGUUAGACGAACGGUCUGGAAAGUCCGACGAUACAGGGUGAUAGUCCCGUAGUUGACGACGUGUGUUCAGUGAAAUCGAGUAGGGCGGGACACGUGAUAUCCUGUCUGAAUAUGGGGGGACCAUCCUCCAAGGCUAAAUACUACUGACUGACCGAUAGUGAACCAGUACCGUGAGGGAAAGGCGAAAAGAACCCCUGUGAGGGGAGUGAAAUAGAACCUGAAACCGUGUACGUACAAGCAGUAGGAGCAGGCUUUGUCCUGUGACUGCGUACCUUUUGUAUAAUGGGUCAGCGACUUAUAUUCAGUGGCAAGGUUAACCAUCUAGGGGAGCCGUAGGGAAACCGAGUCUUAACUGGGCGUUCAGUCUCUGGAUAUAGACCCGAAACCAGGUGAUCUAGCCAUGGGCAGGUUGAAGGUUGAGUAACAUCAACUGGAGGACCGAACCGACUAAUGUUGAAAAAUUAGCGGAUGACUUGUGGCUAGGGGUGAAAGGCCAAUCAAACCUGGAGAUAGCUGGUUCUCCCCGAAAGCUAUUUAGGUAGCGCCUCGGACGAAUACUACUGGGGGUAGAGCACUGUUAAGGCUAGGGGGUCAUCCCGACUUACCAACCCUUUGCAAACUCCGAAUACCAGUAAGUACUAUCCGGGAGACACACGGCGGGUGCUAACGUCCGUCGUGGAGAGGGAAACAACCCAGACCGCCAGCUAAGGUCCCAAAUUACUACUAAGUGGGAAACGAUGUGGGAAGGCUCAGACAGCCAGGAUGUUGGCUUAGAAGCAGCCAUCAUUUAAAGAAAGCGUAAUAGCUCACUGGUCGAGUCGGCCUGCGCGGAAGAUGUAACGGGGCUAAGUAGUAAACCGAAGCUGCGGCAAUGUGCUUUUGCACAUUGGGUAGGGGAGCGUUCUGUAAGCGGUUGAAGGUGUGUGGUAACGCAUGCUGGACGUAUCAGAAGUGCGAAUGCUGACAUGAGUAACGAUAAAGGGGGUGAAAAACCUCCUCGCCGGAAGACCAAGGGUUCCUGUCCAACGUUAAUCGGGGCAGGGUAAGUCGACCCCUAAGGCGAGGCCGAAAGGCGUAGUCGAUGGGAAACGGGUUAAUAUUCCCGUACUUCUUACAAUUGCGAUGGGGGGACGGAGAAGGCUAGGUGGGCCUGGCGACGGUUGUCCAGGUUCAAGUGCGUAGGCUUGAGAGUUAGGUAAAUCCGGCUCUUUUUAAGGCUGAGACACGACGUCGAGCACCUACGGGUGUGAAGUCAUUGAUGCCAUGCUUCCAGGAAAAGCCUCUAAGCUUCAGAUUGUAAGGAAUCGUACCCCAAACCGACACAGGUGGUCGGGUAGAGAAUACCAAGGCGCUUGAGAGAACUCGGGUGAAGGAACUAGGCAAAAUGGUACCGUAACUUCGGGAGAAGGUACGCUCUUGAUGGUGAAGUCCCUUGCGGAUGGAGCUGACGAGAGUCGCAGAUACCAGGUGGCUGCAACUGUUUAUUAAAAACACAGCACUGUGCAAAAUCGUAAGAUGACGUAUACGGUGUGACGCCUGCCCGGUGCCGGAAGGUUAAUUGAUGGGGUUAGACUUCGGUCGAAGCUCUUGAUCGAAGCCCCGGUAAACGGCGGCCGUAACUAUAACGGUCCUAAGGUAGCGAAAUUCCUUGUCGGGUAAGUUCCGACCUGCACGAAUGGCGUAAUGAUGGCCACGCUGUCUCCACCCGAGACUCAGUGAAAUUGAAAUCGCUGUGAAGAUGCAGUGUACCCGCGGCUAGACGGAAAGACCCCGUGAACCUUUACUACAGCUUGGCACUGAACAUUGACCCUACAUGUGUAGGAUAGGUGGGAGGCUUUGAAGCAGGUACGCCAGUAUCUGUGGAGCCGUCCUUGAAAUACCACCCUUGUAGUGUUGAUGUUCUAACGUCGACCCCUUAUCGGGGUUGCGGACAGUGCCUGGUGGGUAGUUUGACUGGGGCGGUCUCCUCCCAAAGAGUAACGGAGGAGCACGAAGGUGGGCUAAUCACGGUUGGACAUCGUGAGGUUAGUGCAAUGGCAUAAGCCCGCUUGACUGCGAGAAUGACAAUUCGAGCAGGUGCGAAAGCAGGUCAUAGUGAUCCGGUGGUUCUGAAUGGAAGGGCCAUCGCUCAACGGAUAAAAGGUACUCCGGGGAUAACAGGCUGAUACCGCCCAAGAGUUCAUAUCGACGGCGGUGUUUGGCACCUCGAUGUCGGCUCAUCACAUCCUGGGGCUGAAGUCGGUCCCAAGGGUAUGGCUGUUCGCCAUUUAAAGUGGUACGCGAGCUGGGUUUAGAACGUCGUGAGACAGUUCGGUCCCUAUCUGCCGUGGGCGUUGGAAGAUUGAAGGGGGCUGCUCCUAGUACGAGAGGACCGGAGUGGACGAACCUCUGGUGUUCGGGUUGUGUCGCCAGACGCAUUGCCCGGUAGCUAAGUUCGGAAUCGAUAACCGCUGAAAGCAUCUAAGCGGGAAGCGAGCCCUGAGAUGAGUCUUCCCUGAUACUUUAAGUAUCCUAAAGGGUUGUCGGAGACUACGACGUUGAUAGGUCAGGUGUGUAAGUGCUGUGAGGCAUUGAGCUAACUGAUACUAAUUGCCCGUGAGGCUUAACCAU